CCUACGGGUUGCACCAGUGGGGAAUAUUGCACAAUGGGCGCAAGCCUGAUGCAGCCAUGCCGCGUGUAUGAAGAAGGCCCUAGGGUUGUAAAGUACUUUCAGUCAGGAGGAAGGCGUUGAUGCUAAUAUCAUCAACGAUUGACGUUACCGACAGAAGAAGCACCGGCUAACUCCGUGCCAGCAGCCGCGGUAAUACGGAGGGUGCAAGCGUUAAUCGGAAUUACUGGGCGUAAAGCGCACGCAGGCGGUUGAUUAAGUUAGAUGUGAAAUCCCCGGGCUUAACCUGGGAAUGGCAUCUAAGACUGGUCAGCUAGAGUCUUGUAGAGGGGGGUAGAAUUCCAUGUGUAGUGGUGAAAUGCGUAGAGAUGUGGAGGAAUACCAGUGGCGAGGGCGGCCCCCUGGACAAAGACUGGCGCUCAGGUGCGAAAGCGUGGGGAGCAAACAGGAUUAGAUACCCCAGUAGUC
This 465-nucleotide ribosomal RNA is filed under the name uncultured bacterium. RNAcentral describes it as "bacterial SSU rRNA". It matches the Rfam family "Bacterial small subunit ribosomal RNA", at positions 338 to 795 of the family's 1533-position model. The record is from RNAcentral.